AUUGAACGCUGGCGGCAUGCCUUACACAUGCAAGUCGAACGGCAGCACGGGAGCUUGCUCCUGGUGGCGAGUGGCGAACGGGUGAGUAAAGUAUCGGAACAUGCCCUGAAGUGGGGGAUAACGUAGCGAAAGUUACGCUAAUACCGCAUAUUCUGUGAGCAGGAAAGCAGGGGAUCGCAAGACCUUGCGCUUUAGGAGUGGCCGAUAUCGGAUUAGCUAGUUGGUGAGGUAAAGGCUCACCAAGGCGACGAUCCGUAGCGGGUCUGAGAGGAUGAUCCGCCACACUGGGACUGAGACACGGCCCAGACUCCUACGGGAGGCAGCAGUGGGGAAUUUUGGACAAUGGGCGCAAGCCUGAUCCAGCCAUGCCGCGUGAGUGAAGAAGGCCUUCGGGUUGUAAGCUCUUUCGGCGGGGAAGAAGUGGCGCUUUCUAAUACAGGGCGUUGAUGACGGUACCCGCAUAAGAAGCACCGGCUAACUACGUGCCACG
Molecule: ribosomal RNA, 490 nt
Filed under: uncultured bacterium
Lineage: Bacteria
Description: bacterial SSU rRNA
Rfam family: Bacterial small subunit ribosomal RNA
Source: RNAcentral